RNAcentral lists this ribosomal RNA (469 nucleotides) under uncultured bacterium. RNAcentral describes it as "partial 16S ribosomal RNA". It matches the Rfam family "Bacterial small subunit ribosomal RNA", at positions 28 to 507 of the family's 1533-position model. The record is from RNAcentral.
GACGAACGCUGGCGGCGUGCUUAACACAUGCAAGUCGAACGGAAAGGCCCUGCUUGCAGGGUGCUCGAGUGGCGAACGGGUGAGUAACACGUGGGUGAUCUGCCCCUUACUUUGGGAUAAGCCUGGGAAACUGGGUCUAAUACUGGAUAGGACCAUGCUGUAGGUGGUGUGGUGGAAAGAUUAGUUUCGGUAAGGGAUGAGCUCGCGGCCUAUCAGCGUGUUGGUGGGGUAAUGGCCUACCAAGGCGUCGACGGGUAGCCGGCCUGAGAGGGUGGGCGGCCACAUUGGGACUGAGAUGCGGCCCAGACGCCUACGGGAGGCAGCAGUGGGGAAUAUUGCACAAUGGGCGCAAGCCUGAUGCAGCGACGCCGCGUGGGGGAUGACGGCCUUCGGGUUGUAAACUCCUUUCAGCCAUGACGAAGCCCUUGUGGUGACGGUAGUGGUAGAAGAAGCACCGGCUAACUACGUG